RNAcentral lists this ribosomal RNA (438 nucleotides) under uncultured bacterium. RNAcentral describes it as "bacterial SSU rRNA". It matches the Rfam family "Bacterial small subunit ribosomal RNA", at positions 772 to 1222 of the family's 1533-position model. The record is from RNAcentral.
ACUGAAUAGAUACCCUGGUAGUCCACGCCCUAAACGAUCACAACUAGUUUUGGGGAGUAUCGACCCUCUCCGAGACGAAAGCUAAACGCGAUAAGUUGUGCGCCUGGGUAGUACGAUCGCAAGAUUAAAACUCAAAGGAAUAGACGGGGACUUGCACAAGCGGUGGAUCAUGCGGCUCAAUUCGAUGACAAACGAAGAACCUCACCAGGGUUUGAAACCCAGACGAAAUCCUUAGGAAACUUUGGACCUCGCAAGACGGCUGGGCAGGUGAUGCAUGGUCGUCGUCAGUUCGUGGCUUGAGUUGUUCCCUUCAGUGGGGUAACGAACGCAACCCGCGUUGCCUGUUUUAUAUGUCAGGCGAGACUGCCCCCUCACGGGGGAGGAAGGUGCGGAUGACGCCAGAUCAGCAUGUCCCUCUGAUAUCCUGGGCUGCACGCA